AUGAAGACACUUACUGGACCUUUGUUUCUGUUCUUGUGGUUGCAGCUGGACUGUGAGUUGGAAGAAGGAGACAGCACUGUUGUUAUCAACUGCACUUACACAGACAGUACCUCUACCUUUUUUUCUUGGUAUAAGCAAGAACCUGGAAAAGGUCUCCAGUUGCUUAUACAUAUUCUUCCAAAUAUGGAUAAAAAGCUAGACCAAAGACUCACUGUUUUAUUGAACAAGACGGCCAAACAUCUCUCCUUGCACGUUGCAGCCACCCAGCCUGGAGACUCAGCUGUCUACUUCUGUGCAGUGAGCACACAUUGCUUCCCAGGCACCUGCAGCCUGUACCCAAACCUGCAACUGGGCUGA
This is a non-coding RNA of Galeopterus variegatus (Sunda flying lemur), 357 nucleotides long. The record is from the annotation of a RefSeq genome assembly. NCBI's taxonomy places the organism in Eukaryota, Metazoa, Chordata, Mammalia, Dermoptera, Cynocephalidae.